Molecule: ribosomal RNA, 397 nt
Filed under: uncultured bacterium
Lineage: Bacteria
Description: partial 16S ribosomal RNA
Rfam family: Bacterial small subunit ribosomal RNA
Source: RNAcentral
AUACGUAGGGGGCGAGCGUUGUCCGGAAUGAUUGGGCGUAAAGGGCGCGUAGGCGGCCCGGUAAGUCUGGAGUGAAAGUCCUGCUUUUAAGGUGGGAAUUGCUUUGGAUACUGUCGGGCUUGAGUGCAGGAGAGGUAAGAGGAAUUCCCCGUGUAGCGGUGAAAUGCGUAGAGAUUGGGAGGAACACCAGUGGCGAAGGCGACUUACUGGACUGUAACUGACGCUGAGGCGCGAAAGUGUGGGGAGCAAACAGGAUUAGAUACCCUGGUAGUCCACACUGUAAACGAUGAAUGCUAGGUGUAGGGGGUAUCGACCCCUUCUGUGCCGCAGUUAACACAAUAAGCAUUCCGCCUGGGGAGUACGGCCGCAAGGUUGAAACUCAAAGGAAUUGACGGGG